CAUUUCUAGCGGGGAGGGACUGCUUGGGCAGCUCGGAGCUUCCCUCAGCGGUCUAUGGGUGCAACCCUUCUUUGGAUGACAUAUGCAUACCUACCUGCGUCCAACAAGGGGUGGCGAAGAUACCUGAUUGCUCCGCAGACGACGCCAACCUCUUGCGGCGCCUGGCAGCUAUUAUGAGAGCGUCAAUGCAAGAUUCAUCAUGCUAGACUCAGUUCACGCAUCUCUCUGUGUAAGGAAAUGGCCAUGGAAUUCUCCAUGUGUUCCAACGUUCACAAAGUGACCGACCAUGAAAUCUUUAGAUGCUACCUGCACUUACAAGAAAACGAUCAUCCCCAUUGGAACUCUGUGGAAUAAAGCCAUUAGAAUGUUCA
Molecule: long non-coding RNA, 371 nt
Organism: Haliotis rubra (blacklip abalone)
Lineage: Eukaryota; Metazoa; Mollusca; Gastropoda; Lepetellida; Haliotidae
Exons: 2
Source: RefSeq, a predicted model, not a curated record